ACUGAAAGAAAAAAAAUUUUAGAUAGUAGCUAGUAUAAUCCAGAUUAUAAAGAGUAUAAUCCAGAUUAUAAUGAUUAUAAUCCAGAUAAUAAUGAGUAUAAUCCAGAUGAGCUUAUAUCUUUAAAAAUAUC
Molecule: long non-coding RNA, 131 nt
Organism: Cotesia glomerata
Lineage: Eukaryota; Metazoa; Arthropoda; Insecta; Hymenoptera; Braconidae
Exons: 3
Source: RefSeq, a predicted model, not a curated record